RNAcentral lists this ribosomal RNA (326 nucleotides) under uncultured eukaryote. Its description in RNAcentral is "partial 18S ribosomal RNA". It matches the Rfam family "Eukaryotic small subunit ribosomal RNA", at positions 1470 to 1796 of the family's 1831-position model. The record is from RNAcentral.
CCCUUAGAUGUUCUGGGCUGCACGCGCGCUACACUGAUGCGCUCAACGAGUUUAUGAACUUGCCCGGAAGGGUUGGUUAAUCUUUUUAAAACGCAUCGUGAUGGGGAUAGAUUAUUGCAAUUAUUAAUCUUCAACGAGGAAUUCCUAGUAAGCGCGAGUCAUCAGCUCGUGCUGAUUACGUCCCUGCCCUUUGUACACACCGCCCGUCGCUCCUACCGAUUGAGUGCUCAGGUGAAUAAUUCGGACUGCAGCAAUGUUUGGAUCCCGAACGUUGCAGCGGAAAGUUUAGUGAACCUUAUCACUUAGAGGAAGGAGAAGUCGUAACA